AACAGUAACAGCAAAUAUUUAUUGAGCACUUAUCAUAGGAGCCAGGCCCUGUUGCCAGCCGUUUAAAAAACAUUUAUAUUAUUUUAUUUUCACAGCAAUAGGAUGAGGUAGGUAUUAGUGCAAACAUAUUCUCUUCGCAAAGACGAGGAAACCGAAGUACCUGGCGGUUGAUUACUUAAGACCCCAGACGUCCAUCGCCCUAUUCUACUCCACGGGAUCAGUGCCCUAGAGCUACUCCAGACCUUAUCUUCUCAAAUAUCCUGAUGUGUUCUGGAUCAACACCACUGAUGAUAGAAGCAUCACACAGUGUCAUGUUUUAUUCAGCAGGUAUUCAAACAACUGCUUCAUGCUUGGAACCAUGGGAAACAUUGGAAAAACAAGA
Molecule: long non-coding RNA, 382 nt
Filed under: Marmota marmota marmota (Alpine marmot)
Lineage: Eukaryota; Metazoa; Chordata; Mammalia; Rodentia; Sciuridae
Description: lncRNA (ENSMMMG00000024625.1)
Source: RNAcentral